AGAGUUUGAUCCUGGCUCAGGAUGAACGCUGGCGGCACGCUUAACACAUGCAAGUCGAGCGGAGUAAAGGCUUCGGUCUUUGCUUAGCGGCGGACGGGUGAGUAACACGUGGGUAACCUACCCCAUACAGGGGGAUAACGUAUAGAAAUGUACGCUAAUACCGCAUAAGCCAACAGGGAGGCAUCUUCUGGUUGGAAAAGCGCUAGUGGUAUGGGAUGGGCCCGCGACUGAUUAGCUAGUUGGCGAGGUAAGAGCCCACCAAGGCAACGAUCAGUAGCCGGUCUGAGAGGAUGGACGGCCACAUUGGGACUGAGACACGGCCCAGACUCCUACGGGAGGCAGCAGUGGGGAAUAUUGCACAAUGGGGGGAACCCUGAUGCAGCGAUGCCGCGUGAAGGAAGAAGUAUUUCGGUAUGUAAACUUCUAUCAGCAGGGAAGAAAAGAGACAGUACCUGAAUAAGCAGCCCCGGCUAACUACGUGCC
RNAcentral lists this ribosomal RNA (483 nucleotides) under uncultured bacterium. RNAcentral's name for it is "bacterial SSU rRNA". It matches the Rfam family "Bacterial small subunit ribosomal RNA", at positions 8 to 509 of the family's 1533-position model. The record is from RNAcentral.